This 253-nucleotide ribosomal RNA is filed under the name uncultured bacterium. RNAcentral's name for it is "partial 16S ribosomal RNA". It matches the Rfam family "Bacterial small subunit ribosomal RNA", at positions 524 to 776 of the family's 1533-position model. The record is from RNAcentral.
UACGUAGGAGGCAAGCGUUGUCCGGAAUUACUGGGCGUAAAGCGCGUGUAGGUGGUGGGACAAGUCUGCUGUGAAAGCGCCUGGCUUAACCGGGCGAGGUCGGCGGAAACUGUUCGACUCGAGGACGGUAGAGGGGGGUGGAAUUCCCGGUGUAGCAGUGAAAUGCGUAGAGAUCGGGAGGAACAUCAGUUGCGAAGGCGGCUCUCUGGACCAGCACUGACACUGAGGCACGAAAGCGUGGGGAGCAAACAGG